GAUGAACGCUCGCUACAGGCUUAACACAUGCAAGUCGAGGGGCAGCAUGGUCUUAGCUUGCUAAGGCCGAUGGCGGCCGGCGCACGGGUGAGUAACACGUAUCCAACCUGCCGUCUACUCUUGGACAGCCUUCUGAAAGGAAGAUUAAUACAAGAUGGCAUCAUGAGUUCACAUGUUCACAUGAUUAAAGGUAUUCCGGUAGACGAUGGGGAUGCGUUCCAUUAGAUAGUAGGCGGGGUAACGGCCCACCUAGUCUUCGAUGGAUAGGGGUUCUGAGAGGAAGGUCCCCCACAUUGGAACUGAGACACGGUCCAAACUCCUACGGGAGGCAGCAGUGAGGAAUAGUGGUCAAUGGGCGAGAGCCUGAACCAGCCAAGUAGCGUGAAGGAUGACUGCCCUAUGGGUGGUAAACUUCUUUUAGAAAGGAAUAAAGUCGGGUAUGUAUACCCGUUUGCAUGUACUUUAUGAAUAAGGAUCGGCUAACUCCGUG
RNAcentral lists this ribosomal RNA (490 nucleotides) under uncultured bacterium. RNAcentral describes it as "partial 16S ribosomal RNA". It matches the Rfam family "Bacterial small subunit ribosomal RNA", at positions 28 to 507 of the family's 1533-position model. The record is from RNAcentral.